This 241-nucleotide ribosomal RNA is filed under the name uncultured bacterium. Its description in RNAcentral is "partial 16S ribosomal RNA". It matches the Rfam family "Bacterial small subunit ribosomal RNA", at positions 536 to 776 of the family's 1533-position model. The record is from RNAcentral.
AAGCGUUAUUCGGAUUCACUGGGCGUAAAGGGCGCGCAGGCGGCCAAGUGGGUGAGGCGGGAAAGCCCGGGGCUUAACCCCGGAAUUGCACCUCAAACUACAUGGCUAGAGCAUUGGAGAGGGUAGCGGAAUUCACGGUGUAGCAGUGAAAUGCGUAGAUAUCGGGAGGAACACCAGAGGCGAAGGCGGCUACCUGGACAAUUGCUGACGCUCAGGCACGAAAGCGUGGGGAGCAAAAGGG